AUUGAACGCUGGCGGCAGGCCUAACACAUGCAAGUCGAAUGGUAACAGGAAACAGCUUGCUGUUUCGCUGACGAGUGGCGGACGGGUGAGUAAUGUCUGGGAAACUGCCUGAUGGAGGGGGAUAACUACUGGAAACGGUAGCUAAUACCGCAUAACGUCGCAAGACCAAAGAGGGGGACCUUAGGGCCUCUUGCCAUCAGAUGUGCCCAGAUGGGAGUAGCUAGUAGGUGGGGUAACGGCUCACCUAGGCGACGAUCCCUAGCUGGUCUGAGAGGAUGACCAGCCACACUGGAACUGAGACACGGUCCAGACUCCUACGGGAGGCAGCAGUGGGGAAUAUUGCACAAUGGGCGCAAGCCUGAUGCAGCCAUGCCGCGUGUAUGAAGAAGGCCUUCGGGUUGUAAAGUACUUUCAGCGGGGAGGAAGGGAGUAAAGUUAAUACCUUUGCUCAUUGACGUUACCCGCAGAAGAAGCACCGGCUAACUACGUG
This 490-nucleotide ribosomal RNA is filed under the name uncultured bacterium. RNAcentral's name for it is "partial 16S ribosomal RNA". It matches the Rfam family "Bacterial small subunit ribosomal RNA", at positions 30 to 507 of the family's 1533-position model. The record is from RNAcentral.